GGAGGUGAGGGCUAUCUGGCUGUGACAUCUGUCACCCCACUGAUCACCAGGGUUGAUUCGCCUGAUCUGGCUGGCUAGGCGUGAGACCCCUUCCUCCCUCACCGCCCCACGUGCAUUCCUCCUGAAGCCGUGCACUGGUCAAAGAGGACAACCUUCCCUGAUAGAGGAAGAUCAUUCUUCAGUCAAGGGUAUACAAUACAAGUAGCUGUGCUCCACUGCUAGAACCUCCAAACAAGUUCUUAAGACUAGCAUUCUCCUACACUAUUUUGAUGUUACUUAAUGUUAAGAAACUAUAAACUCAUUCCAUAAAGUUCGGAACACUACAAAGAUG
Molecule: small nuclear RNA, 331 nt
Filed under: Microcebus murinus (gray mouse lemur)
Lineage: Eukaryota; Metazoa; Chordata; Mammalia; Primates; Cheirogaleidae
Description: 7SK RNA (ENSMICG00000037116.2)
Rfam family: 7SK RNA
About the family: 7SK was discovered as an abundant small nuclear RNA in the mid-70s but a possible function has only recently been suggested. Two independent studies have found that 7SK RNA binds the CDK9/cyclin T complex (known as elongation factor P-TEFb). P-TEFb activates transcription by phosphorylating the C-terminal domain of RNA polymerase II.
Source: Rfam by way of RNAcentral